RNAcentral lists this unclassified non-coding RNA (263 nucleotides) under plant metagenome. Its description in RNAcentral is "partial contains small subunit ribosomal RNA, internal transcribed spacer 1, and 5.8S ribosomal RNA". The record is from RNAcentral.
UUUCCGUAGGUGAACCUGCGGAAGGAUCAUUAUUGUAUAACCGAGGUGCGAGGGCUGUCGCUGACCCGUAGGGUCGUGCACGCCCGAGUGCCCUCACACACAUCCAUCUCACCCCUAUGUGCACCACCGCGUGGGUCCCCCUUUGGCUUGUUCGGAGGGGGGCUUACGUUUUCACACAAACUUUGUAUGCAGUGUAGAAUGUAUUUUUUGUUUUUGCGAUCACGCAAUCAAUACAACUUUCAACAACGGAUCUCUUGGCUCUC